ACGCUGGCGGCAGGCCUAACACAUGCAAGUCGAGCGGUAGCACGGGAGAGCUUGCUCUCUGGGUGACGAGCGGCGGACGGGUGAGUAAUGUCUGGGAAACUGCCUGAUGGAGGGGGAUAACUACUGGAAACGGUAGCUAAUACCGCAUGACCUCGCAAGAGCAAAGUGGGGGACCUUCGGGCCUCACGCCAUCGGAUGUGCCCAGAUGGGAUUAGCUAGUAGGUGGGGUAAUGGCUCACCUAGGCGACGAUCCCUAGCUGGUCUGAGAGGAUGACCAGCCACACUGGAACUGAGACACGGUCCAGACUCCUACGGGAGGCAGCAGUGGGGAAUAUUGCACAAUGGGCGCAAGCCUGAUGCAGCCAUGCCGCGUGUGUGAAGAAGGCCUUAGGGUUGUAAAGCACUUUCAGCGAGGAGGAAGGCGUUGUAGUUAAUAGCUGCAACGAUUGACGUUACUCGCAGAAGAAGCACCGGCUAACUCCGUGCCAGCAGCCGCGGUAAUACGGAGGGUGCAAGCGUUAAUCGGAAUUACUGGGCGUAAAGCGCACGCAGGCGGUUUGGUAAGUCAGAUGUGAAAUCCCCGAGCUUAACUUGGGAACUGCAUUUGAAACUGGCAAGC
This 619-nucleotide ribosomal RNA is filed under the name uncultured bacterium. Its description in RNAcentral is "bacterial SSU rRNA". It matches the Rfam family "Bacterial small subunit ribosomal RNA", at positions 33 to 641 of the family's 1533-position model. The record is from RNAcentral.